UACGUAGGUGGCAAGCGUUGUCCGGAAUUAUUGGGCGUAAAGGGCGCGCAGGCGGCCGGUCAAGUCUGUCUUAAAAGUGCGGGGCUCAACCCCGUGAUGGGACGGAAACUGGCAGGCUGGAGUGUCGGAGAGGAAAGCAGAAUUCCUAGUGUAGCGGUGAAAUGCGUGGAUAUUAGGAGGAACACCAGUGGCGAAGGCGACUUUCUGGACUGUAACUGACGCUGAGGCUCGAAAGCCAGGGGAGCGAACGGG
Molecule: ribosomal RNA, 252 nt
Filed under: uncultured microorganism
Description: partial small subunit ribosomal RNA
Rfam family: Bacterial small subunit ribosomal RNA
Source: RNAcentral